RNAcentral lists this long non-coding RNA (375 nucleotides) under Brassica napus (rape). Its description in RNAcentral is "long non-coding RNA (BNAP_LNC024715)". Lineage: Eukaryota; Viridiplantae; Streptophyta; Magnoliopsida; Brassicales; Brassicaceae. The record is from RNAcentral.
UAUUCAUGUUGUUUCAAACGAAAACCUUAGAAUUUGGCUACUCAUGAAUCUGGUGAUGAUGUUUAAAGUAUCACACGAAUUACUGGAAUUUAUAUUAUAAAUUUUAACUAUCUUAGUUUCUUGUCUUUGUCGAAAUAUUGUAUGGUUGAAGUAAAGUUGGAGAUAAUUCUUAAAACAUAUUGCUAACCAGUAGAAACAAUUUCCACUUUCAAAAGUUCAAAUGUAUAUCACAAUAGAAUAUAAACAAAAUUAUUCCACCGUCUUGUCUAAAUUCCAAGUUGUUAAAGUAGCAAAUGAGAUUCAAAAGAGCCACAUGAAAAAGAAACAUCCCUUUACGAAAACACUACACACACAUGCACAUGCUAUUCCCCUAUC